This 3853-nucleotide long non-coding RNA is filed under the name Bos indicus x Bos taurus (hybrid cattle). RNAcentral's name for it is "lncRNA (ENSBIXG00000020510.1)". Lineage: Eukaryota; Metazoa; Chordata; Mammalia; Artiodactyla; Bovidae. The record is from RNAcentral.
CCACAGGAUGGUUGCGCAUUGUCAUUUGCAGGGGGAAAGAGCUGGUAGGCUUCCGCUGGUGAGUAACAGUUGUCUCCAGUGAGUCGGGACCAGUCUGUUCUACCUUCAUAUCCACUCAACACACAGUACAGCAGUCAGCUCUUCCUAGUAUUAAAGCUCUGAGAAUGUUCAUGGGCCAUUUUGGAGGUCUUGACAGCCUCUUGGCUUUUAUUUACCUUCGUUUCCAGGAUUCUGAUAGUCUACAGAGGAAAAGGUAGCGACUUUUAAGGAAAAAAACCUGUUCUAGAGCUAUCAUUCUGCUACAUUUCAGUGUUUCCCGUGUACCUUGGUGGAUAAAGAUGCAGAGCAAGUGUUUUGAGAGCAUGAUGGAAGGUACAGGGCAAAGGAACAGAUGCCUAAUUCUCCAUCAUCCUCUGUAGUCUCCCAUCUCCUCUAAAUCGCAGAUCAGCUUCUUUUUUCCUUUCUCCUCUUUUUCUUUUACUCCCCAUAUAGAACCCUCUCUUGUGCUUUACCCUGUUUCACAUCACAUUUCUUUUUCUUCCAUUUCUCCCUCCUAGUCUCCUCUCUUCUUUCUGGCUGCUGCCAUCCCAUCAGCAUUCUUUUUCCCACAAAUCAAAGUCGCCUUAUGGACCCUCUUGUGUUCCUCCUGUGUACAGGUACAAAAGCCAUGAAGUCUGAGAUGCUGCAGAAACACUUCGUAGGAGACCGCUCCUCAGUGCAGGUCCCGGCCCCACAUCUGCAGUGCUCAGGAUGUGCUAACAAGCUGCGCCACUGCCGGGGGUGGGCAGGAGUGCCCAGUACUCUCCUGACUGAGAUGCCCUCUUCCCCAGGCACCUGCUCUGCUGCUGGCCAGUGGGCACCUGGUAUCUGCAACUUUUCCGCAGACAUGAGAGGGGAAAGCUUCUUCGCUUUCCCGGAGCUCACCUCCAGGUGUGACUAUGGAUAAUCAGUGAUCAUGAACAUGCCAGGAAGAUCUAUUACUAAGACCCACCUCAGGCCUCUUGCAGAAAUGCCACAGAGCAAGACGUGAUCUCUGACUUCAAUGAGAUAAACAGAUGAGACAUACAAACAGAAGACAAAAGUGGGUAAGUGGGUAGCUCGACAAAUGAUACAGUACUGCUUACCCAAAGUUACUUUUUAAAAUCAAAUAAUGCAAUAUUUAGAAGAGAGAGAGACAAUAUGGCAUGAUGACAAAAGUAAAGCUUUGGGGUGACAACUGGGGAUUAUCACCCAGUCACGUGUCUGCUCUCUGACCACGAGUAAAUUACUUUAUUUAUUUGAGCUCGCUCUCCACUUAGAGUGAAUGAAAAAUGCCCACUCCCUGUGAUUGUUAUGAGCAUGAGAAAACAGCAUACAGGUUCUUACUGAAAUGGUUGUUUUUUAUAUGUAUCUUAAUCUGCAGUGAAGUUAGUGCUUAGGGUGAGUUGACCUCUACUUUUAUUUUUUUCCAUAUGAGCACCCUAUUAUCUUUGUACCAUUUAUUAAAACAAAAAGUCCUUUGGUCUCUAGCACCAUCCCUGUCACAUAUCAAGUGUCCUGAGUCUGCUUCUAGCCUUUCUUUUCUCUUCCAUUGGUCUGUCGGUUUGUCCUUGAACCAAUUGCCUUUUAAAUGUGCUUUAUACGAUAUCUUUACAACCGGUAUGGCACUUCUGCUAUCUCAUUCUUCCUUAUAAUUUUCUUGGCUAUUUAUACACUUCACCUACAUUUCAGAAUCAAGAUCUGUAAGAAACCCUGUCAAGAUUUUGAUCAGAAUUACAUUAAUUGUAAAAAUGACUUUAGAGAGUAUUGAAACUUUAAGGACCUAAAAGAUGGGUAAGAUAUGAUAGGCAGAGGGUAAUGAGGUGUAAGGAGGGAGUCAGAGCAGAAGGAAUGGCAGGAUGCAGGAAAGCCCAGGGUAUAUUUUUGGUCCAUGGCGUGGUCUACCUUGACUGGUGAGUGAUGGAUACUAGAAGGGAAGUAUACAGAAGCCUUAGCUGUCAAGUGAAAUGUGAAUGCACAGAGAGAAGCCUGUGCCAACCCCAGAGCCCAGGGUGUCCUGUGACAGCUACCUGAUGAAAAUCAACUUCCUGUCCAACUUUGUGAAGUGACAAUGCAAUGAAGGUGUGUGUGAAGAAAGUUAGAGAGACAGAGGGAGUUUAGGCAGAUGUUAAUCAGGUACUAAGCCACGAAAGUGUUGCUCUCAAAUGGAUGUCCUUUUAUGCAACAUUAUUUAACCUGUGGCUACUAAAUCCAUCUGUAAACACUCUGUGGGUUUACGAGCUCAGAAAUAUACAUUCUCUUAUGAUUUACCCACAUGUACAAUUAACUUGACCAGGCUCAGCCAGAGGCACUUAUUAACAUCCCCAAAUGGAGUCUAUUCAUCCUGCUCCAAAUUGCUGGGGUAUACCAGUUGACUGCACAUUCAGUUUUCCUGUUGCUUUACUGCUGUGAUUUCCAGAGCCCAGAAAGCCACUUAGUCUUGCUAUUGUCAUGCAGUUCCCAUGCUGGUUGAAUCCCUAGCAAGGCUAUUUUAAAGGUCAGAUGGGUGUUAGAAUGUACAAUCCCGUGUUUGCUGAAGCACAACAUUUGUGAGCUAGGUGGAAGUUAGGGUUGGUCAUCCAUGCAGUCCAGUCCUCUUGUGCAGGAGGUAAGGAAGCAGGCUCAGAGAGGUGAAUUGACUGCCUCUCAGUGAAACAGAACAUUUGGGACAGAACUGGGACUGUAACUAAAAUCUCCUGGCUUCUGGUUUACUGCCUCAUCCAUGACAUUUGCCUUCUUAAAAAGUCUGUCAUCCUACUGAUUAUUCUCCUUGCUCUCUUUCAAAUAGACUGCUUGUUCUUUGUUUUCUAGUUCACUUUCAAAGCUCUGAUGGGUUUAAAGUGUUCCUUGGGUUGCAGUUGUAAUUAUAUAACUCAUCUUGCCCCCUAUGCACAGGUUGAGUGAAAACAGGGUCACAGAGCAACAGCAGUGCUCUAGCUCCUCAAGACCCACUCAGAUGUCUCUCAGAUUGUUCUUGGAGUCCACUGGGAAUGGUCUGCAGUGGGCUUCUCAGAUGAAACCCUUCACUACACCAGGACUCCUGCCAUUUUCCUCCUCUCUGUGUUGUGAUGAUACCACAAGUGAUGACCAGGCCAGCAAGGCUGAUGCCUUCCCCAAACAUGAUGGUUGCUGUGAAGGUGUCUAUCAGACCUGAUGUUGCUUCUGCCUGGGCCAAACGUGAUGGUACCACCUGAUGUCAACAUGAUCCACCAGUGCCAGCCCAUCCCCCUUCUCCCAUACCCACUCAGAUCUCAGCAUGAAUUUCUGAGUGGGGGUGGAGGAAACCUGAGUGUCACAGAUAGUGCUCUACGUAGAAUUGUGCUUCCCCUUGACCUUGGGUCAUUUUCACCGACCUGAACUUGUGUGCUGAGAUUUCUUUUAAGAACUUUUCUAGGUAGACUCUUGAGGGACCCAUCCAACCAGCCUUCCAAACUUGACAGAAUCCAAGUGUGGACCCACUUUAGACUCAGAUUGGGACCCCCUGAUACAUUUAACAAUGAAGAGAGUCCACAAUAGUAGAGAAUCUACAGAAUAUAGUCUUGACAAUAGUGGAAGAGUUGAGAGCAUAAACUCUGAAGUUAGACUACCCAUUGGCUCCCCUACUUGUAGCUGUGUGACCUUUGGUGAUUUAUUAAUCUUCUUUGAGUCUCACUGUACCUACUGAGGACACUUGUAAUCAAAUGAGAUAACUCAUAGAAGGUACUUGGUACAAUGUUUGGGAUCAACUCAGACUUCCAUAAUUGUUGAAUGAAUAAGUCGGACAUCUGGGGUUGAAAGUAUUGAAAAACAAACUUUUCUGGGUGUAUUUAAAUAAAUCUCAGAGACUCAUGGAGCA